CCCUUAGAUACCCUGGGCCGCACGCGUACUACAAUGGCGAGUACAUCGAGUCAACACUUCGUUAUGCGAAGGUCCUGGUUCCGAAAGGACCGGGUAACCUCCACAAAACCCGCCGUGAUGGGGAUAGCCGAUUGCAAUUAUCCGCCUUGAACGAGGAAUGCCUUGUAAACGCGAGUCAUGCAUCUCGCAUUGAAUACGUCCCUGCCCUUUGUACACACCGCCCGUCGCUCCUACCGAUGAGCCAUGAGAUGAACCUUUGGGAGAAACGAUGGCUUUCACCGGCUGUCUGUUUUGAACUCCGUUGAAUCUUAUGGUUUAGAGGAAGGAGAAGUCGUANCA
This 339-nucleotide ribosomal RNA is filed under the name uncultured eukaryote. RNAcentral's name for it is "partial 18S ribosomal RNA". It matches the Rfam family "Eukaryotic small subunit ribosomal RNA", at positions 1470 to 1796 of the family's 1831-position model. The record is from RNAcentral.